UUAAAAAAAAUACGAUUUUCUUUUUAUUUAACUGUUUUUUAGAUUGUUAAUACAUUACGUUAUUAAAAUUGCAUUAAAACUUGAAAAUAUGGGAAAUUAAUUUGAUAAAAUAGACAAGUUGAAUGAUGUUAAAAAGUUUUGACAGAGUGAAGUUGUAGAUUUUCCCGACGCCCAUCGCACUUUAAUGCCUGAUGUAAUAUGUGUAAUGGACUUUCGUUUAUAAUGGAAAAGAGAACGAGAGCAAAAAGCAAAAAGGGCGUCACGAUCGCGCGCUUUCCCCCAAAAAAAAACUAUGCCCUUAAAAAAAGCACAAAAAAAUGCGUCAGUUAUCCGUUGUAUUCGACUCGUUCGGAUUGCGUUUCCCGUUUAGAAUUUGCUCAACCAGAACGGAUUUGCGACGUACAAUUUAACGGUAUUGGUAUUUUAGAUUUGACAUCUUAUAAUUUGACGUUUUGAAAUUUGACGUUUCAAAAUUUGACGUUUCAACAAUUUAAUCAUAAAAUUCAAAUAAAAUUUAUGGGAUUUACAUAGUUUAAAUUGGAAUUUAGAAAAGUUAUAAAUAUAACAGUUAUAAAUUUUGAUUAGAGAAGUUUUGAGUUUAAAAUAUUCUGGUGGUGCGAAUGAGCAACAAAGGGUUGGUGGGUUUGUAGGAUGGGAGAUAUAAUAAAACCGGUAAAUCGUCAUUAAACCAAAUUUAAUUAAUGAAGUCGAUAUGAGGUGGUAUUCCCGUCGCGCCGGUCGUAAAUAUUUUAGCGCAGCCCGCACGGUCAUCUGGUCCCGCGGGUGAUCCUGCAGGAUACUCGGCUGGCCCCGGGACUACGGACCGUGAUCAACAAUUUAUGAACAGGCCGUGGAACCCAUGUCUCUGUUUCUGCCAAUUUAUUCGACAUAAAAUGUCCAAAAAAAGAAAUAAAAAUAUUAAAAAAACACCUCUACAUAUGUAUGUAUAAAUACACCAUACACGCGAUAAUAAUUUCAUGAAAAACUUUAAAUGAAGAUUUAUGGAAUUGCGUACAUAUUGGUAGAUAAAUUAUGAUUAUUUUUUCCAUGGAAAAUACAUAAUUAAUGUUAUGAAUUGUCAAUAGCAUGGAACAAUUUCCGAGUCGCUGAGCGAACGAGGACAAUUUAUAUUAAAAUGAUGAUAUAUUUUAUUCAUAACAAUAUUAUUGCUAACAAGUAUAUAUUGAUUAACCACACAUAUUCCAUUAUGUAUAUUUAUACAAAUUCUAACGGUUAUUACUAUCUACAAACAUUGUACCUAACAUAAUGCAUUUCGCCCCAUCAGAUUGACAUCCACUGAAUCGCCACCAGUACGCUUAUCAAACGGGAAAGUCAACAGAAUUGGCUCUGCACAGUUUGGAUGCUCCAGGAUAAAGAGGUGUUAAACAACGCAAUACCACAAUCUCUUGAAAGAGCUGCUCUUGACAGGGGAAUCCAAGAUCCGUAAUAUGUUUGAUACGAACUUAAAAAUUUAUUUCUCAACGUUUAAAUAUGUUGUGUCAAUUUUAAAUGUUUAAUAAUCGCUUCCACGUAAAAGUUAAACCGAUGGAAGUAAAAAGUUGUAAAUAAUUUUCUGUUUGUCCAUCACUUUGUUGCGAGGUCCAACCCGUCUGGUUAAAACUGGGGGGGAUGAGGUAAAACUAGACGAUGCCGGAGCUUGCAAAGCUCGUAAAAUCGCUGCCCCGGUGCUCUCUUAUUUGUUUUAUUCAAAAAGCGGCCGGUCCGACACGCUCGGCUGUUCCGUCCACGAUAAACUAUUGAUACUUGGACUUUGUGACGGCCUUUCGCUCGCAUAAUCGAAUUGCGGCCUCUAGAGCGGACUUCCGGUCCAACAGCUGCCCAACAACUGACGCGUAAGGACGCGAAUUUAUUGUAUUCGACCUUUUCUAGAAAUGAAUUUUCUAAGGGAGUUGAAAAGAAAUGUUUCUAAGAUUUUUUUUUUGAUAAAAAAAACAAGAUUAUUUAAGAUUCAGGGAUUUGGCUAACAAUGAAACCAAAAAAUAAAAACCCAAGUUCAAUAAAAGGAGAGUUUUCCAAAGAGUUGUGCCUUUUUAAAUAAAAUAAAAGCUAGACUAGUUUCUAGUUCUAGGUCUAGUGUUAGUUCUAGUUUUACACUAUCACUACAACUAAUGCUUAAACUUCAAUGUGACAUAAAUUCAAUAUUACCAACUGUAACCAACUUCACAACAAUUUGUCAAAAUUAACUGUCAAUUUAAUGAAACGUCAUGUUUUAAAAUAUGAACCCAAGUUAAAUAAAGACAGAGCAAAGUAGAGUGAAAAAGGAAGACUAUGAGAAAAUAUAUGCGAUUUGGAGCUCAGAAUUAAUAGCUAGAAUACAGUCAAAUCUAGGUGUAUUGUCACCGAGUAGCAGAGUAUAAGUCUAUAUAAAGACUACUUCAGUGGAUUAGCUCUAUAUCCAAUGUAAGUCAAAAAGAAUCUUCUGUAUCAGAUAGCUUUUAUUUGGUUUUUGACUGGCUUGGGUCUGGGUGAACUGGACUUUUCUUAGGUGGUUUGGGUAUUUUGGUCUGGCUUGGGUUGAGUAGUGAAUCAGUUCGGUUUGGUUUGGGUGUAGAAGAGUUAGAUUUGUUUUAAUUGUGGAUCAGAUUGAUUCUGUAUGGUGUGCGACUUUGGUUAUUUUUGAACUAGGCUGCGCUUAGGCGAUUUGAGUCUGGAUGCGUUAGAUUUGGUCAAGGAUUAAUUGAGGUUGCUUUGUAUACGCAAAGGUUGAACUUGAUUUGGCUGUGAAUCAGGUGAUUGAUACUGAUUUGGGUAUAGGAGCUUUAGUUAACCGAUUUGGGUUGGGCACGAUAUAAGUGUGAUGGUUUGGAUGAGUAGGAUUUAACCUGGUUUGAGUUAGAAUUAAGAUGUACAUUGUACGGCGUUUUUUGUAGGCGACCGUAUUGAAUGUCUUCUGCAGCUGUCAGCUAAAUUCAUAUAUUUAUCCAUCUGAAUUUAGCCAAGGCCUAAUUAAACGUUGCAAUAUGUUUCUGUCUCUUCUUAGCAGGUCUUCUUCAAUAUUGUAUCAAUGAAUCCACUAAUGCAACAACUGCUAAACAAAUGGGAGUACUCGUAGAGACUUCUCUGAAAUGGAAUGCACAGCUACAUGAAGUUGGAAAGAAACUCAAUUCAGUAGUUUUCCAGUUAAGAACAGUGAUGAGAUUGACAGAUCAACAUACAGCAAUGGUGGUGAUUUACUCGAAUUUCCAAAGCAUCAUGUCUUAUAGUGCGUUGUUCUAGGGAAAUUCCUCAGGAGUUGAACGACUAUUUAUAAUACAAAAAAGAGCAGUUAGAGCGUUGAUGAAUGCAAAUCAAAUGGAGAGGUGUAAACCAUUGUUUAAAGAAUUAAAAAUAAUGACUGUUGCUGUAUACCUAUAAUAGCUCUAUAAAUAACAGCAGAUGAAAACAAAAUGGGUCGAAUUAGAAACAAAACUAUAAGAGACGAUUUAGAAUAAAUACUGCUAGUAACUGAAAUAGGAAACAAACAACUGAGCUGGUCUCGACACCUAGUCGGAAUGGCAGAAGAGAGAAUUUCCAAAAUAGUUGGAAAAUGAAGAAGAGGGAGGCCAAGGAUAAAAUGGGAGAAUGGAGUGGAGGAGAUGGUGCGCAAGAAAUGAAGAAUAUGGCAUGAAACAUACGUAGUGCGGGGCUAAUGGUUUGAUAGUAGCGAGAGGAAGUUUUAGGAAAACCAAUGUCUUCAACAACAAAAUUUUAUUUACAACAAUAAUAACAAUAAUGUAAGUGCGGACGCGAAAAGGGUAACUGCUGACUGAUCUGCCGAUGGGAACUGCUAACUGAUAAGUGAUGGUAACUGGUGGUAACUGAACUCUCCGGGCCGAUCCUGGUUCCUUUUAUCCCCGAGUCCAGUAACAUCCCCGGUGAAAGUUCUCUUCGAGUCCUUAUCUGGACCAAAAGGAUCUGCUGUCCAGAUGUACGGAGAGAGUUCUUCUGAAUUGUUUCGAACGCUUUCUGGCGUCCAGAUGUUCGCCACGGAGAGCGUCCAGUAAUAUCUCCGGUGAAAGUUUUCCGGGAACCCUUUGCCUGGACCAAAAGGGUGUCCUGCCCAGAUGACCGGAGAGAGAUUUUUUUGAACGGUUUAAAAAGUUCUCUGGCGUCCAGAUGUUCGCCACAGUAGUUUUAAAAGAUGGAUAGAGGAACCCAACAACACCUCAACGCUAUGAUGGCAUCUAGGGGAAAUGAAAAAGAAGAGAUAAUCCAUAUCCAGCAACCACCUUUAUCCACAAUCAGCAUCAAAACCCCACCAUAUAUCCAGAACUAUUCCAAAAACUAUUCCAAUGUCAAAAGUAUUCCAAGUAAUAUUACGACAUAAAUUUGAUAAUCAAAUUUGAAAAAUAAUAAAUAUAAAAUAAUAUGUAUAGAAAACGAUAAUUUCAUUAAAGUUUUUCGAUAAACAGCA
Molecule: non-coding RNA, 4414 nt
Organism: Onthophagus taurus
Lineage: Eukaryota; Metazoa; Arthropoda; Insecta; Coleoptera; Scarabaeidae
Source: RefSeq, a predicted model, not a curated record